Molecule: microRNA precursor, 78 nt
Filed under: Scleropages formosus (Asian bonytongue)
Lineage: Eukaryota; Metazoa; Chordata; Actinopteri; Osteoglossiformes; Osteoglossidae
Description: mir-92 microRNA precursor family
Rfam family: mir-92 microRNA precursor family
About the family: This family represents the microRNA precursor mir-92. Human miR-92 has two predicted hairpin precursor sequences: mir-92-1 on chromosome 13 and mir-92-2 on chromosome X. miR-92 has also been cloned from mouse embryonic stem cells.
Source: Rfam by way of RNAcentral
CUUUCUGCGCAGGUUGGGAUGAGGAGCAAUGCUGCUUACUGGUGAGGUAUUGCACUUGUCCCGGCCUGUUGAGGACUA